Larimichthys crocea (large yellow croaker) is the source of this 540-nucleotide long non-coding RNA. RefSeq lists it as uncharacterized. The record is from RefSeq and is a predicted model, not a curated record. The transcript is spliced from 4 exons. NCBI's taxonomy places the organism in Eukaryota, Metazoa, Chordata, Actinopteri, Sciaenidae.
GUUGUGAUAUGAAGCUAACAGAAGCUAAAGCUAACAGGUGUCAUGCUAAAUUAGCAUUGCUUUAACUGGCUUUCAUCGUUUACAAAUCUCCGAGGUGUUCCUGAAGGCAGCACAGAUAAGCCCCGCCCCCUGCUGUCGGCGGCCUGUGGUGCGUUCACGGCACAUUUUCACGGAGUGUUUGAAAGUUGUCAACAGAGAAGAGCCGGAGGACCGGAGAGGAAGAGCGGACACGGAGAGCGGCUUCACACCGACAGCAGAGCUCGGAGCUGGAGGGAUGGGCUGCAGCCACAGCAAGAAGAAAAGCAAGAAGGGAGAGAAGAAGCAGAAGAAAAGCCGCCGAGAUGAAGGAGGUGACCGUGCGUCAGGUGAGCAGGACGUCUACCUGGAGAAGCAGCUGGAGCGCUUCGAGUGGCAGCUGAGGACGCUGAAGGAAGUGCUGUCAGCCAAGGGAACCGGAGAGGGCGGCGCUUCUGAAGGGCCACGCCGAUGAAGAGCUGUGCGCCCUCGUCCUGAGCGUCCCGAUAAGGUGAAGACGGAGAC